Long non-coding RNA from Passer domesticus (house sparrow), 603 nucleotides. RefSeq lists it as uncharacterized. The record is from RefSeq and is a predicted model, not a curated record. The transcript has 2 exons. Lineage: Eukaryota; Metazoa; Chordata; Aves; Passeriformes; Passeridae.
AGAGGAAGACUUGAGUGUGAUGGUUGAAGGAAGACAGCAUGUGCCAGCAGUGUGAGCUCACAGCCCAGAAAGCCAGAUGGAAUCCUGGGCUGCACCAAAAGGAGCAUGGCCAGCAGGUCAAAGGAGGAAAUAAUAAAGCUAGAAAUAUUGUAUACCAGAAGACUGUACAACAGUUACAGAAGAGAAGAUGGAAAAGACACUGGAUCAAACUAUUUUUACCAAAAAUGGGCACAUGUUUUUGCAAGUUUGGUCCAAUUACCUACUGGAUCAGAUCUACUUUCAGAGAACAAUUUUAUAAAGCUCCACUGCCUUUUUGACAUUACAUAUAUCCUCUCCCUGAAAGUCUUUGUUCUUCCAAGUACUAGGUGUUACUAGAUUAACUCUUCACAAAUGAAAGCAGUGUACUUCAUCCUUAGAGAUGAAAGACCUGAGAAAUAAUACCAUGGAGUUGUCUUUAAUGCAUAUUUGGAAAGAUACACAGGAAAAAAUAUUUCAUACCUCAAAAAAAAGGCUUGCAUACUUCCUAAAACAUGACACAUUAAGUUGUUAAUCAAUGCAAAAGCACAGACCUAAUAAAAUGGGAAAUGAUAUCUCAAAAGACAA